This 433-nucleotide ribosomal RNA is filed under the name uncultured bacterium. RNAcentral's name for it is "partial 16S ribosomal RNA". It matches the Rfam family "Bacterial small subunit ribosomal RNA", at positions 29 to 507 of the family's 1533-position model. The record is from RNAcentral.
AACGAACGCUGGCGGCAGGCCUAACACAUGCAAGUCGAGCGAGAUCUUCGGGUCUAGCGGCGGACGGGUGAGUAACGCGUGGGAAUAUGCCUCUUGGUACGGAAUAGCCUCGGGAAACUGGGAGUAAUACCGUAUGUGCUAUUUGGGGGAAAGAUUUAUCGCUAAGAGAUUAGCCCGCGUUGGAUUCGGUAGUUGGUGGUGUAAUGGCCUACCAAGACGACGAUCCAUAGCUGGUUUGAGAGGAUGAUCAGCCACACUGGGACUGAGACACGGCCCAGACUCCGACGGGAGGCAGCAGUGGGGAAUCUUAUACAAUGGGGGCAACCCUGAUCAAGCCAUGCCGCGUGAGUGAUGAAGGCCUUAGGGUUGUAAAGCUCUUUCAGCUGGGAAGAUAAUGACGGUACCAGCAGAAGAAGCCCCGGCUAACUCCGUG